AGUAGAGUUGCUGGGUCAUAUGGUAACUCUGUUUAACUUCUUGAGGAACUAUCAGACUAUUUUCAAAGCCACUACACCACUUUAUGUUCCCAUUAGUAUU
Molecule: microRNA precursor, 100 nt
Filed under: Marmota monax (woodchuck)
Lineage: Eukaryota; Metazoa; Chordata; Mammalia; Rodentia; Sciuridae
Source: RNAcentral